UGGCGCCCAAUGUGGAGACCCAGGUACGAGGGCUUCAGUGAAGAACAUCACUAAGGAGAGCCGGACAUAUCAAAAAGAAAAGAAAUAGAGAUAGUUGCAAGACGGGGGCCUGCUGAAGCAACAAAGACCUCAGUAAGUGAGCUAUGAUAUGGGACAAGAAAUGAGUCAACAUGAAUUGUUUGUUGAAGACCUCAAGAAGACACUUAAGGCAUGAGAGAUUAGGCUUAAAACACAGGAUUUGUUAAAGUUUUCUGUAUUUAUUAAGGAAGUUUGUCCCU
This is a non-coding RNA of Mesocricetus auratus (golden hamster), 278 nucleotides long. The record is from Rfam. Lineage: Eukaryota; Metazoa; Chordata; Mammalia; Rodentia; Cricetidae.